RNAcentral lists this ribosomal RNA (253 nucleotides) under uncultured bacterium. RNAcentral describes it as "partial 16S ribosomal RNA". It matches the Rfam family "Bacterial small subunit ribosomal RNA", at positions 524 to 776 of the family's 1533-position model. The record is from RNAcentral.
UACGUAGGGUGCAAGCGUUGUCCGGAAUUAUUGGGCGUAAAGAGCUCGUAGGCGGUCUGUCGCGUCGGCUGUGAAAACUCGGGGCUCAACUCCGAGCUUGCAGUCGAUACGGGCAGGCUAGAGUUCGGCAGGGGAGACUGGAAUUCCUGGUGUAGCGGUGAAAUGCGCAGAUAUCGGGAAGAACACCCGUGGCGAAGGCGGCACUCUGGGACGGUACUGACGCUGAGACGCGAAAGCGUGGGGAGCGAACAGG